Molecule: RNA transcript, 2228 nt
Organism: Hylaeus anthracinus
Lineage: Eukaryota; Metazoa; Arthropoda; Insecta; Hymenoptera; Colletidae
Exons: 5
Source: RefSeq, a predicted model, not a curated record
UGUAUGUAUGUAUGUAUAUGUAUACAUAGGCACACGGGGUGCGCUCUAUACUGUACGCGGGAUACUACACUGCAACUGUGCCAACGUGGACAGUGUCUCUGUGUUGCUCGGUUACUCCGUGGUUGGCCCUCGGUUCGGUUUGGUUCCCGCUUUUCCGAUUCCUUUUUCUCGGUUGCCGCAGCCGCAGAUGUGAGAUAGCGAUGCUUUUAUUACAUUUCCGGGUUUUCCGUUACCUUUGUUUCCGAUAACUAAUGGUAAAAAUAACCAAACAAAGCGGUAUGUAUGUACUUGUUCUUCUUUCCUGUCGAGAAAUUUGGUUCUUUUGUUGUUGGCGGUAAAAGCAUCAACUCGCAAAGUCGAACGAGUUACGUUACAGCUUGACAGACCAAUCCCGACCCGACACCGACAAAACAGGGCUGCUCGACAAAUGAAAAUUCAACAAGUCUUGACGACGCGUUACACGAUAUUCUUCGUAAGGCUUCGCUACUCCCACGAGACCAUUUUCUUCGUUUGAGAAUUGAUAUUGAGAUAGAACCAUGGCCGGCCGUUUAAGAGUACCAUCGUGUUUCUUAUCGCGACUUCCAUAUACGACGGAUUUGCCAAAAUUCAAUUUAUUUUCUAUCAAAAAGAUGAAGAAGAAUUGGUCGGCUACGAUACGAAAGUACAACUCGCAGGAGGAUAGAAAAGUGGGAAAACGAGGCGACUGACUGGAUUCGAUUUUUUUGCCCUCAGAGGCUGUAGCGGUGUUUUUGUAAGCUACAGUACGGGCUUAGCAACCCCGAGGUAUCCGAGCUAGAUGACCCCCACAGAGAUGAGUUGUCGAGCGAUUGUCAGAGAUAAAAAGUUAUGCAAUAUAGGAGGGCCAGUAGGUCCCCAUAGAAAUAAAAAGUUAUAUUACCGAUGUUAUGCAGCGAGUUACGCACGCGGGGACGGCACUCCCCGUUCCGGGAGGCCGCUGAAGGAUCAGACCGAGCGUAGAAAAUCAACUAGGUGGCCACGUGGUGAUCGAUACUGUAAGCACAAGGCCAUUGGAUGAAAGACGAGGGGAGAGUCGGACUUUUGGUGACGAGCAUUCGUUAUACAUAUGUAUUAUACAUUGCCGACUAGAGCGCACACAUCCACGAAUUACGUGGAAAAUCAUUUCGUAAAAAUCCCAUUUACCGCAUUACUUUUCAGUAUUCUUACCAUUAUCGUGUUUGUUUCUGAAAGGAAAAUGUGGAAUGUGUUGUAGAUUUGCGUUGCGACCAACAACUUGUCGCCUGUACCUUGAUAGAAAUUAACGUUGUUGUGGUUAACAACAGUUGUUUCGCCAAGGAGGGAACCGGCGAGCCGAGCCGAGGCGAGCGAGCCCGAGAACAUGAAAGAUUUAAGCUCCAUAUCUCUUUACCCCGACCCGCGUACUUGUGCCGAGUGUCUCUUGGCUAGCCUUCUUUUCUCUGGAGUCGGUCUCAGCGUACGCCGAACGAGUAAACUAUUUAUAUCGGCAGUCUGAAACGAGUUUUACCAGAGUAUCACCAAUGUGCAUUUCGGCAAUGCAGAAGGGACACGUCUGGACCUCGUAUUAUUCUCCGGUUUACGUUGGCCGUGUCUACAUAAAUGUUUGAAAAAUAAAGGACAAGCUAGCACGCCUACUCGAGAAAAUUGUUUCGCGACGUUGAAAAGUCUAUCGAAAAAAAGCCAACGGGCGGUAGCUUGUACUCGAUGAAAAAUUAAUUAGUCGACGAGUUUCGGUUCGUCAAUCUCUCCACGAGUCUCGUUUAGAAAAGGAAAGAUUACCGAUUAUAGAGAGCCGUUUUUCAUAUUCUCAAAUGGAUUCAAACAUUAAUUACCUUUGGCACGAAUGGCUUGUGAUAUACUCGAGUCGGGAAUUCACGAGUUUCGCUAGUUGAAAUGCGAGACAAGCAACCGGUGUAGUUUACUGGUUCAACUUUUUCGCCCUUCUUCCACUUUUCCUCCUCUUUUCCAAGAGGAGCUUGCCCAACUCGCUGCAUAAUGCAGCCGACUAUAUUGAAUGCUUGACAGCGCGGCCGGCCAAGUGAUAAAGAAAUCCGCGAAAAGCUCCCUAGGCCAACGUUGACGGAAUGUUAGGUGACCUCGAUGUACUCGUUCGACCGAAAAACAUUUAUUUUCUUUUGUUCUGAAAUAAACAACAUUCCGAGUUUACGUAAUAUCAUAUUAUACAUACUAUACUUGAUAGUUUAUAUAAUCGCUAUCAAAGUACGUAAGUA